CGCCGCUGCAGUCUGCUCCGCCCAGCCGCGCUGCGCCCCUCCACCACGUGAGCUCCCUGCCCCGGCGCCCUGCUCUCCGCCUGGCCGCCCCAGAGAGGCGCGGAGCUGGGGAGGGCGCAGCCGGUCCGUGUCUAGAGAGCCGCAGCACCGCUCAACCCUCGCCUCCUGCCCUGGGGUGUCUCGGGCUAGGCACGGGGCAAGUCCUACCCCUUCCUCCCGGGACCAUGAGACUCUCCGCUGGGGCUGCCAGCCCCUUGCACGCUGCGGCGCUGCUGCUGCUGCUGCUCGCCGCCUUCUGCCUCUCCGCGUCCGGGACUACAAACACAUCCAUCCCAACCACAACCACACAAUCCACUUCAAAUACUUCAGCACAUGAUAAAAAUGUCACUCUCACGACUACAUUGGGUUCAAGCCUGAAGUGAAAUCUUAAAUACUACCUAUGGUAAGGGCUGUUUUGAUAUUUACAGAUGACUGUGCCAUUUGGAGGGUUUACAUAUCAUUUUUAAAAUGUGUUCUGUAUUUUACUUAAUGUGUUUUACGCAUGCUUCAGAGAGGAGCUGAAUUUCCUAAUUGCUACAAGGUAAGCACAUGAAUGGAACAGCGCCAGAUAUUUAAUCAGAAUGAAUGUUGCCUUUGAACUGCACAUGAGGGAUAUGAUGUGCCAUUUCACAGUAUCAAAGGAGAGUGAUAAAUAAGAUGUAUUAUGG
Molecule: long non-coding RNA, 707 nt
Organism: Gopherus agassizii (Agassiz's desert tortoise)
Lineage: Eukaryota; Metazoa; Chordata; Testudines; Testudinidae
Source: Ensembl